Molecule: ribosomal RNA, 253 nt
Filed under: uncultured bacterium
Lineage: Bacteria
Description: partial 16S ribosomal RNA
Rfam family: Bacterial small subunit ribosomal RNA
Source: RNAcentral
UACGAAGGGGGCUAGCGUUGCUCGGAAUCACUGGGCGUAAAGGGUGCGUAGGCGGGUCUUUAAGUCAGGGGUGAAAUCCUGGAGCUCAACUCCAGAACUGCCUUUGAUACUGAAGAUCUUGAGUUCGGGAGAGGUGAGUGGAACUGCGAGUGUAGAGGUGAAAUCCGUUGAUAUUCGCAAGAACACCAGUGGCGAAGGCGGCUCACUGGCCCGAUACUGACGCUGAGGCACGAAAGCGUGGGGAGCAAACAGG